UUAAAGACCUUAACCUUCGAAUCCGUGCUGGCCAAAGCCAAGCACUUGUUGGAGCUAGUGGCUCUGGCAAGAGUUCAGUCAUUGCAUUGAUUGAACGAUUCUACGAUCCAACAGCCGGAAAGGUUAUGAUCAAUGGAAAAGAUAUCCGGAGAUUGAACUUGAAGUCUCUUAGGCUUAAAAUCGGAUUGGUACAACAAGAACCAGCCCUCUUUGCUGCCAGCAUUUUCGAUAAUAUCGCUUAUGGAAAAGAAGGAGCAACCGAAGCUGAAGUAAUCGAAGCAGCUCGAGCAGCUAACGUGCACGGUUUCGUUAGUGCGUUGCCUGAUGGUUACAAAACACCCGUUGGUGAGAGAGGCGUUCAACUCUCCGGAGGUCAAAAACAAAGAAUCGCCAUCGCAAGGGCUGUACUUAAGGACCCAACAAUAUUACUACUCGAUGAAGCCACCAGUGCACUCGACGCAGAAUCAGAAUGCGUGCUACAAGAAGCACUCGAAAGGCUCAUGAGGGGCCGCACGACGGUACUUGUGGCUCACCGUCUCUCGACAAUAAGAAACGUCGACAGUAUUGGAGUAGUACAAGACGGGCGAAUCGUAGAACAAGGCAGCCAUUCCGAAUUGAUUA
RNAcentral lists this long non-coding RNA (621 nucleotides) under Gossypium raimondii (Peruvian cotton). RNAcentral describes it as "long non-coding RNA (GRAI_LNC004342)". Lineage: Eukaryota; Viridiplantae; Streptophyta; Magnoliopsida; Malvales; Malvaceae. The record is from RNAcentral.